AAAACAUGAAACUAUUAUUUCCAAAGACGCAAAGCUCAUCUAUGCAACCAAACCGACUAAACACAGCAAAAUUACAACCGAACCGUUCAUAUUCUUCACAACCAGAAACUAAACUCAGGUCCCAUAUUAGCAACUUCGUUACAUGAAGGUAGCAAGCAGGUAGGAAAAGCAAAAGGCAACUCAUGUCCCAACUUAGCAUGAAUCCUGGCGUCCGGAGGCACACCAUUUCACAUUUUAUUCUCUGCAUAGACAAGCAGCGGGGCCGUUCCACGACCGCAAAGGCCACGGGAAGGAACCAUGGAGCGGAGAUGACGCUCUACUGGGUCUUGAACAUGUGGCGGAUCAGGUCAACAACGCGGUUGCUGUAGCCCCACUCGUUGUCGUACCAGGAGACGAGCUUGACGAAGUUGUCGUUCAGAGCGAUUCCAGCCUUGGCGUCGAAGAUGCUCGACCUAAGUGGAAACAAUGAAACAGGAAAAAAAAUGAAUAACACAGCACAGGAACAAAACAACAUUCACUAGAAUUCAUCGUAGCACUAUAGUGGUGUGCCCUAGAAUAUCCGCUGGUUCCUAGAACUUGGAGGACCCAAAGCAAAUUUCGUGUACCUGCUGUCACCAGUGAAGUCAGUGGAAACCAAAUCCUCGUCCGUGUAACCCAUGAUACCCUUGAGUGGCCCCUCAGACGCAGCCCUGUAAAACAAUAACAAUCAAAUUAACAACAUUUCACAAAUCCCCAACCAAGAAGAAUGCAAGAUACAUGGACUCCAUGUCAAACAUGGCAACAGAUUAUCAUUCCAGACAAGAAAUGUAAAUACAUUGAUAAAUUAAUUUAAAACAAUAAACAAGAGACUUACUUGAUAGCCUUCUUAAUGUCCUCAUAGGAGGCACCCUUCUGGAGUCUAACGGUGAGGUCAACAACUGACACAUCCACGGUGGGAACACGGAAGGACAUACCAGUGAGCUUGCCGUUCAAUUCAGGAAGAACCUUACCAACAGCCUGCAGUAAAUUAAUAUACAAGUUAGAUGCAGAAUCACAAUUAAACUUAUAAGAAUAUAGAAUGGUUGCCAACUUUACACUAAGCAGAACCAAAGUUAAUAAUGAAGCCUUUUAACACAUGAUUCCAAGGUAUUUGCAUGCUCAUUGAUGUGAUUUAGGCUCAGAUACAUAAAUUAGUUCACAAAGCUAUGUAUAAACCCAAAACAGAGAAAUAAGCUAUCAAGUUUCUAUCACAAAUUAUCAGCUAGCCUAGCAGGUCAAAACAGUUUGCACAAACAAAAGACUACAGAAGAACUAGGAAAUACAGGCUCACUGUAUACAACAUUGUGAGUUUGUCAUAUACCUUGGCAGCACCAGUGCUGCUGGGAAUGAUGUUAAAGCUGGCAGCCCUUCCACCUCUCCAGUCCUUGGCUGAGGGUCCAUCAACAGUCUUCUGGGUGGCUGAGAGACAAGCAUCAUUCUGUCAUUUAAGCCAACUACAAGUAUCUUCUCAAUCCUAGGAGGAAAGACGGCUCAACAGACAACUCACCAGUGAUGGCAUGAACAGUGGUCAUCAAACCCUCAACAAUACCAAAGUUGUCAUUAAUAACCUGUUUUAUGAAGUUAGACAUCAUUAAUAACCCAUCUACAUCAGAAGAGCAGAAACAACUAAAAAAUGGCUCAAAGAAGAGACAACACACCUUAGCGAGGGGAGCAAGGCAAUUUGUGGUGCAGCUAGCAUUGGAGACAAUGUUAAUAUCUGAGGUGUACUUGUCCUCAUUGACACCAACAACAAACAUAGGUGCAUCUUUGCUUGGGGCAGAGAUAAUAACCUUCUUGGCACCACCCUAUUAUUCAAAAGCAAAAUGCAUGUGUUAGAAUCAUCCAGUUGAAACUUCGAGAAGAAUGCUGCGCUUAUGUGGAACAGGGUAAGUUACACAGCUCACAAUAACAAAAAGCGCAGAUACGGUGUAGACAGUACAUGCAUGUAUUAGAUCCUAAUCAUGACGACACUACCUUGUUUAGCUUCCCAGAUGUAUAGAAGAGUCCAAUAACUCUGCUUAUAACAAAACUAAUGGACAUUAAACAAACUGGUAACACUGGACAGUCUUUAUAGAAUAGAAGAGUGUAUUUCAAAUCUGUCAGGUUAUUAAAGCAUAUCAGAAUCAAAUGACCAAUUCAAUUGGAAGGAAGAAGCUACCACUAAACACAGCUGCGAAGAAAAUUUACUACUGAAAAUUAAGACACCAUUUUUUAAGCCCAACAACUAAGUGGACCAUCACUUAAUUUGUUCCCCGCAUGUAUACAAUCAUACCAAAUUCAUGCAUUCAGGAACUAGGGAGAACAAAAUACAUUAACUGCAUGCAUUCUAACCAGCAAUAGGAUUAUGUGGCAGCAAUUAUACCUUCAAGUGAGCCGCAGCCUUGUCCUUGUCAGUGAAGACACCAGUGGACUCCACGACAUACUCGGCGCCAGCCUCAGCCCAUGGGAUCUCCUCAGGGUUCCUUUUAUAUUACAGCGGUUUAAACAUUAGUUCACAACGUGAACACAGAAGCUCAAUCCAUCACUGAAAGCAGUAACAGGGGAUGUACCUGAUGCCAAAGACAGUGACCGGCUUCUCGCUGAAGAGAAGGGUCUUGGUGUCCUUGAUCUUGAUGUCGCUGUGCUUCCACUGGCCGUGCACGGUGUCGUACUUGAACAUGUAGGUCUGCACGAGACAGGAAGCGCAUAAAUCAUGAGCACAGCACUCAAAAUUCACAAUUCAGUACACUAGCAAAAACUAAACACAGAGCUAAGCACUAAAUCUCAAGGUGUACAUGCCCACAAAACUAAGCACCAAGCGAAGCACUAAAUCUGAAGCUGUAGACACCCACUGACAGGAUAAAUAAAAUAUUAUAAUUAAGCAACAUGACCAACAAAUCCCCCCAGAUCCAUGGAACCUCAGUAAAGAAUUGUAGUCAAACAACUCCGGAAGCCCACGAUUAACAGCAUCAAGCACGCUUCCUCACGAAUCGGCGCUGAACCCACCACAAAACCCCCCAUAAACCACCAGAUCUACGCACGACAGCGAACGAAACCAACAGAUCGAGGCGUGUACCAUGUAUUCGGUGGUGAUGAAGGGGUCGUUGACGGCGACGAGCUCGACAUCCUCGCUCUGGAGGGCGACCCUGGCAACAAGCCUGCCGAUUCUUCCGAAACCUGAGCCAAAUCACACAAACAAAAACCAACUCAGAUCAGUCCAGAUUCAACCACGCAGAGACCAAACAAGCACGUAGAGUUAGGCUGGCGGGUACAAACUCACCGUUGAUUCCGAUCUUAAUCUUGCCUGCGCAUCCGCAAAUCCACCCAGCAAAAACGAGAAAAGAAAACAAGUCAGCAAAGCCCGUCCAGGCUAGAUCCGAGUACGAAGCAUAAGAGAACAGCAAUUAGACGGGGAGAUCCGGGUCAGGAGCGAGCAAUUACCCAUGGCGAGAGGGGGUGCUGCGAGGCCGACGACGACGAGACGGGGAGGAGGGUGUGAGGAGAUGCGAGAGGAGGAGAAGGGAAGUGUCUAGAAGCGGAUAGGGUGAGGUGGGGAGGGGUUUAAGCGGCCGCGCCAUUAUAAAGGCUAGAGAGCGAGGGGAAGAGAAAAGGCAAAUUAAUUUUUUAUAUACAUUUAUUAAUCAAAGGAAAGGAGAGAGCGAAAUGCAACUUGGGAAAGUGCCGUCGGGGGAAAUUCUAAAAAAAUGGGCGCCAAUAAUUCUUGGAUGGAAUGAGGUGCGUGAGGUGGUGACCUGUCCAACCCGCCCGACUUUCUCCAGAAGGCUUCGGGAAGGUGGAAGGCCAGAUGACGUGCAGGCCCGGUCACCGAAGAGGCCCACGUGUCAUUGGUAAGGACGGGGGCGGGGAGGGGUGGACGCGCGUGGAUAGUGGCGCAAGCAGAAGAGGAGGAGGAAAGGCAUGUUUCCUCUUUAUUCUUUUCUUGGGGAACAAUAAUGGCGGUAAAGAAACCCCAACUUGAGAAAACAAAAAUGGUUCGGAGGAAAAGAAAAGGAGCAAUAGUGGUGGCCCUGCUUCGGCCGCCGUGAACGUGUCGGUAAGCGGCUAGGCCUACGUGGCGGCGAUCGGUCGAUCGGGGCUCGGUCUGGCCGGACGGAAAGCGGCCGGCGGCGCACGGGGAGUGUUUGGCCGGGACGGCGACCGGCGACGGCGAAGGAGCCGCCCGUCUGGUCGUGUUUGUCCGACGCCAACGGCAUCGAAUCCACGAGUCCGCUUUGGUACGUGGAAUCCCACUUUUUUAGUUUUGGUGGCCUUUCGAUGCUUCCAUUUGCUUUGCCGCACCAAUUUAAAAUUCAUCUUUCUAAUGAUAAGGUUUUGCAUAAUCGUAGUGUUCGUUUCAAAAAUUUUUUUCUUUUUUGCAGUACUGCAGGCUUACUCAGCAUGGCCGUAUCGGUGCUCACUCCAUUCGACGUGUACACGUAUCCUUACACGUAUACGAAUUACGUGUAGAGCACACGUGUUCCACCCUUGCCAGUUGCCAAGGGCAUUUUGUUUUGGGGUGGAGACAGCUAGGAGCGGUGACAGUCCACGUGAAAGCGACGGCCAGGUGCGGUGCCCACGGCGGAUCUCCGCCGCGCCGGGCGUCCCGUGCCCUGACGGCGAGCGGCGGCGUGGGGUCCCCGGCGGGCACCCUGCAUGCGCGGCAGGCGGAUAUGCCACCCCUGGCUGUAGAGAUAAUCUCGAGACUGCCACGGCGAAUAUGCUCCACACAUUCUUUCCCACCCCUUCCAGACGCUUCGGUCACUCGAGUCCCCGGCUGCCAGAGCGGGAGCGGGAGCAGCCGCUCGCGUGGUGGUCAUCGUCAUCGAGCACGACGCGGACCCGAGUUUGGAAGACGUCGGCGUCAGGGCGCGUCAGGUUCCGGACGCAGCCGACGGCCGCGGGUUUCAAAUCCCACCGGCGGCGGUCAGUUCCGGUACCGCCGGCCGGUCGGCCGUCUUUGCGUCCGCCGCCGCGUACGGCACCCUCUUUUCGUUUCUACAACCAAGUUUGUCAAGCUUCUGCACCGGCGCUUUGGAAAUUCGCGUGCGACCAGAAGCGUUCGGGCGUGUCAAGAACGAAAGGGGAAAGAGGAGGUUGCAUGGUCUGGUCAGCUUGUUCUAGGUGCAUCGCAUGAACGGAAAGGCAGAAAUCGGAAUCUUUUCAUCUUUUUUCCGCAAUCUGUGCAGUGCAGCAGCUUCGACGUUUUCUUUUUCGCUGUCAGUCAGUGUCUCGCUACGAUGCAUUUUUUUUUCCAACGAGUGUUUUCGUUAAACUACUACCAAUAAUUUCUUGAUCAAUGUAGCUUGAUGUCAUGCCGGCGUAAGAAGUCACGAGCGACGACAGUGGAAGGUGCCGCUGUUUGACAAAAAAUAAAGUACUUAAAAGUGUUUGCUAGCGUUUGUUGCAGACUUCAAGGCUGAUUACGUAUGCAAAUACCGGUAUUACCCCUUACUACUAUUAAACCUCAGUAGUUGUUGUUGUUGUUGUUGUUUGAGAGGAUUAAACCUCAUUAGUUUAGGCCGAAGGAAGCUCCGAGUCUUCUGGUGUCCCCUUAAAAAAGGCGCAUCAUGGUGCCAUCUGAGGAUGAAAAGCUUGAUCCAGAUAGAUUUCAGGCCCACUCCGGAUGAACGCUGAAAUUUGCUGGGCUAUGGCCUAUGGGCCUCACACAUUAGCAAAGCCCAAGAAAACCAGUCAUCUGUAUAUUUUAUAUAAUGGAAAACUCUUACGAAACCUAACCAAUUCGGAAAGACGGAGCAAAUUAGCAUUUUGCUUAGCGCUUGAUGCGUUUGCACUUUAACUUAUUUGAUUUGACUUAGGCCACGUUCAUACCCACAUUCUGUGUAUACGUGCUCCACCAUGGGUUGUAACACUAUUAGGUCUACUCAGGAAAUUUAAAAUAGAUGUUAUUAAGUUCUGAAGGAAACUCAAGUGCAUGGUUUACGAAAUUUGGUGCGCCAUGGCCCUGAUACAUUAGCAAAGCCAUUAAGUACAUAUUGAAAUGCGCAGGCCUCAGAUCUCUUUCAAACAAAAUUUCAGACUUCAGCUGUAAUGAAAGCUCCAGAACAACUUAAACCACCGAUGAGUCUAAGGAAACCUAAGAAUUUAUGCAUGCAAAUAGUUUGGAUUUCUGAUUUAUAAAUCUCUAAAAGCUUGAAACAAUAAAUUACCCGGCCUAAAGAAACAUUAGCUUUUCACCAGAUUAUUGCUGCUAGCUGCUGUCCUUCUGAUCAACCUCUCGUAUGCGGAUAUGCCAUUGGUCAUUACAGAAUACCAGGCACAAGCGCUAAAGGAAUUAGCAUUUGCUUAGCGCCUUAGUGGUAGGAGCCCGCCGACGCACUGCGCGAACGCGUCCUGGGUCGCCGCGUGGUUCUCGAUGAAGGAGAAUGUGCCACCCGUGACCUCCGAGAUGCCGUGCAUGGCCGCCGCGUCGUGGUCGGUGCCGAACCCGAACGCGUGCAUCGGCUCGCACCGGUCGCCGCCGGCGGCCGUCGAGCACCUUGGCGGCCUCGUCGAGGCCGCCGCGGAUGUUGGUGCAUCCGUCCGCGACGAGGGUCUCCACGGCGCGCGUCGGAGUCGAAGGCGACGACGCUGAGGCGGUCGCCGGCGCCGAGGUUGUCGAUGACGAACCCCAUGGCGCGUUUCACCAGCGCCAGCUUCUCGCCCGACAUGCUGGUGCUGACGUCGAGCACCGUGACGAGGUCCAGCGGCGCUCUCGCCGACGCGGCCUCGGCGGCGGCGGCCACCGCCGCGGGCGCUUUGGCGUGCACCAGCACCGCGAACCCGUCGCGCCCCGCCGCCAUGGAGAGCGCCGGGUACUCGCAGUACGUCUUGAGCACCAGCAGCCCUCCGCCCGUCGCGGCGUUGCGGUUGCCGCCGCCACUGAUCUCGGCGUGCGCGGGCGGCGGCUCCACCGGCUCGUCGUCGUCGUACGAUGAGCCGCCGCCGCCGGCGGCGGCGGGCGUGUCGCUCCAGCGCGCGCCGCAGACGGGGCAGACGGCGCUACCCGGGGCGCAGCGGAGGUGGAAGGUGUGGGAGCACUCGGCCGUGAAGAUGGCCUGGCCGUGGCCCAUACCACCGAAGCAGACGGGGCGGCAGCGGCUGCAGGGCAUGCCCAUCCCCGUUCCCAUCACCGUGGCCGCCAUGGCUGAAAGCGUGCAAGCUACGCGCUGAAACCGCAGUGGAUUGAUCUGUUCGCCGACCCAGCAGAUAAAGCUUAUAUACGAGAUACAGCCGCGCACAUGUACGUCCUGCGAUCGGCAGACAGAAAUAAGGGAAGGCAGCUGGGACGCAGGAGCAUCCGAGGGGAGAGACGAGAGAAACGUAGCUAAGUUUGCACGCGGUUACACAGUGACAACUACUGAUCUGACUACAUGCUUAUGUGCCUUACAGUACACAAAGUGACGCAAAUAAAGAAGCCAACUAGUUACUGCUUUGAUCCCGUCGCGGUGGUGCAGACGGCGAGGCAGGCGAGGUAGAAGAUGGCCGAGUCCGCGGCGUCGCCCCGGCCGUCGCCGCCGGAGCAGAGGUAGCCGCGCUUGAAGCGGCGGCGGCCCUGCUGCUCGCUGCACCGCAGCACCUGCGCCUUGAUCGCCAUGAUCGCGUCGCGCCUCCCCUUGUCCUUCCUCGCCGUCUCCGUGGCUGCUUGCUCGCUCGCGGCAGAGCCGCCAUGCCUGACGACCCUCUGCACCAUUUCCCCGCGUGGCCUCUGGAUAUGGAUUUGGACACCGUUGGUAUAUUCUUUACCUGAGCCUGAUGGUUGUGUGGGGGGUCGACGUCUUUUAUAGCAGAAGCAGAACACAAGGUAGGCAGUCCUCAAGAAUGAAGGACGACCAGCAAGGAGUAGGGCCGUGGCAACCGUUAUGGCAUCAGUGCUAUAUUUAAUGAUCGUAUUGUCCAUAGAUCUCAAUUUGAGAGGACGACAACA
Molecule: long non-coding RNA, 7921 nt
Filed under: Setaria italica (foxtail millet)
Lineage: Eukaryota; Viridiplantae; Streptophyta; Magnoliopsida; Poales; Poaceae
Description: long non-coding RNA (SITA_LNC004372)
Source: RNAcentral